CUCUUUCAUAUUGAAUGGUUGCCUCAAAUCUGUUUACAGAUCUUUUUUUUUCCUCGUCUUUCAUCGCUUUUUAUUCAUUAGAAGCCUCCUGGAUUCCAGUUAUCGGAUGAUGUUGGGAGUUUGCUAGUUCCCUGUCUUGGAUGUGAAAGCAUAAAAAUUUCUGGUCUCUGUUAUGAUAUGGGCAUAGAGACUAGAGAGGUGUGUCAACUUGGAUAUGGAAUGAGGGAGCCGCAGAUUUUGAAGGCGCUCAAAGACCUUGUGAAAGCCGGAGGAGCUACAAAAGCCUAAGGUGGCGGUUGUUCAAAGACCUUGUUAAAUUCCAACUGCGUUUCUUUCCUUUGGAAAGGUGUGAUAGACUCUACCCAUGGACACAAGAUAGCUCGGGAUAUAGUUCCUGCUCCCAAAGGGGAAGGAGGACUAGGUUUACGAAAUAUACAAGUUUAAAAUAAUAUAUGUGAGCUGAAACUGGUUUGACAGAUAUUCUUUAAGAAUGAAUCA
Molecule: long non-coding RNA, 498 nt
Organism: Tarenaya hassleriana
Lineage: Eukaryota; Viridiplantae; Streptophyta; Magnoliopsida; Brassicales; Cleomaceae
Exons: 2
Source: RefSeq, a predicted model, not a curated record